This 468-nucleotide ribosomal RNA is filed under the name uncultured bacterium. RNAcentral's name for it is "partial 16S ribosomal RNA". It matches the Rfam family "Bacterial small subunit ribosomal RNA", at positions 28 to 507 of the family's 1533-position model. The record is from RNAcentral.
GACGAACGCUGGCGGCGUGCUUAACACAUGCAAGUCGAACGGAAAGGCCCUGCUUUUGUGGGGUGCUCGAGUGGCGAGCGGGUGAGUAACACGUGAGUAACCUGCCCUUGACUUUGGGAUAACUUCAGGAAACUGGGGCUAAUACCGGAUAGGAGCUCCUGCUGCAUGGUGGGGGUUGGAAAGUUUCGGCGGUUGGGGAUGGACUCGCGGCUUAUCAGCUUGUUGGUGGGGUAGUGGCUUACCAAGGCUUUGACGGGUAGCCGGCCUGAGGGGGUGACCGGCCACAUUGGGACUGAGAUACGGCCCAGACUCCUACGGGAGGCAGCAGUGGGGAAUAUUGCACAAUGGGCGGAAGCCUGAUGCAGCAACGCCGCGUGCGGGAUGACGGCCUUCGGGUUGUAAACCGCUUUCGCCUGUGACGAAGCGUGAGUGACGGUAAUGGGUAAAGAAGCACCGGCUAACUACGUG